Long non-coding RNA from Cyprinus carpio carpio, 665 nucleotides. Lineage: Eukaryota; Metazoa; Chordata; Actinopteri; Cypriniformes; Cyprinidae. The record is from Ensembl.
AAGCAAAACCAUGGACGAUGUAAAUGCUGUGAACAUGAUCGUACUGGUUUGGGCAUAUGCAUUUGUCUGUGAAGCCAUUAAUGAGUCUGGUGGAGAUAAAACUGUGGACACUGUUAAGAAAGGUGAAGCAAAGCUGACUACAUCUGAGAUCACUGUCACCGCUGGUGCCAUAAUCAUCUCCAUCAUCAUGUUAAUCAUUUAUAGGAAUUACAAUCCCACAAACCUUUGUCUAUAUGUCUCUUAGACUAUAAAACAGCUGAUUCUGCCACAAAAGAUGAUGAGAACAGUAAAUAGUCUGAAAGAGCAUCUUAACAACAUCGCAGGACUGUGUAGCAGUUGUGUUUCACAUCCAGUGCAGGUCACAAGGCUUUGAAUACGUUUAUUGUUGCACUGGUCGCCAACAGCAGUGUUGUUAAAAGUGUACAGAGGACUCAUAACUAUGAAUGUUACUGGGCCUAUACUGAGUGUGCUCUUGUCUUAAGCUGUAUGUUCUGUUUCAUAUUGAUUUCUGUGAAAAAACACAAUGCUAUAGAUUUGUUUGAUCAGAGUGCUUUAUAUUAAGUGAACUUGUGCACUCUCAGAAAAAAGGUACAAGCUGUCACUGUGGCGGUACUUUAUUUACACCUACUUGUUGCAUAUUAGUAGCUUUCAUAUUAAUACCUAAA